GAUUUUGCCUUCGGGUACAAUUGAGACAGGUGGUGCAUGGUUGUCGUCAGCUCGUGUCGUGAGAUGUGGGUUAAGUCCCGCAACGAGCGCAACCCUUGUGUUUAGUUGCAAACAGGUCAAGCUGUGCACUCUAGACAGACUGCCGUGGACAACACGGAGGAAGGUGGGGAUGACGUCAAAUCAUCAUGCCCCUUAUGAUCUGGGCUACACACGUGCUACAAUGGCCGGUACAACGGGCAGCGAAGGAGCGAUCCGGGGCGAAUCCUAAAAAGCCGGUCCCAGUUCGGAUUGCAGGCUGAAACUCGCCUACAUGAAGUUGGAGUUGCUAGUAAUCGCGAAUCAGAAUGUCGCGGUGAAUGCGUUCCCGGGUCUU
RNAcentral lists this ribosomal RNA (373 nucleotides) under uncultured Fusibacter sp. RNAcentral describes it as "bacterial SSU rRNA". It matches the Rfam family "Bacterial small subunit ribosomal RNA", at positions 1010 to 1382 of the family's 1533-position model. The record is from RNAcentral. Lineage: Bacteria; Bacillati; Bacillota; Clostridia; Eubacteriales; Fusibacteraceae.